GGUGUUGCGCCUCAUGUCCUACUUCCAUGAAACUGAUGCUGGCUGCCUGUGCUGGAGGACUUCCCUAUACCUUCCCAGCUGCCUGAGAGGAAGCGAUGACCUAGGCCAGGCUUUCCACAGCUAUAAGCCCCGACUCCCCACUUCUACAGCCCACAUAAGCCACUCUACAUGAUCUUCCUGUUAUGGGGAGUUUCCAGUUUGCAUUGCCUUCUCCCAUAAGUCCACCAUACCAUGCCUGAGGAUUUAUGGCAACACAGUCCCAGAAGACCCAUGAUGACAAC
Molecule: long non-coding RNA, 281 nt
Filed under: Homo sapiens (human)
Lineage: Eukaryota; Metazoa; Chordata; Mammalia; Primates; Hominidae
Description: HSALNT0259707
Source: RNAcentral